RNAcentral lists this ribosomal RNA (253 nucleotides) under uncultured bacterium. RNAcentral describes it as "partial 16S ribosomal RNA". It matches the Rfam family "Bacterial small subunit ribosomal RNA", at positions 524 to 776 of the family's 1533-position model. The record is from RNAcentral.
UACGUAGGGGGCUAGCGUUGUCCGGAAUCAUUGGGCGUAAAGAGCGUGUAGGCGGCCCGGUAAGUCCGCUGUGAAAGUCGGGGGCUCAACCCUCGAAUGCCGGUGGAUACUGUCGGGCUAGAGUGCGGAAGAGGCGAGUGGAAUUCCUGGUGUAGCGGUGAAAUGCGCAGAUAUCAAGAGGAACACCAGUGGCGAAGGCGAGUCCCUGGACAACACCUGACACUGAGGCACGAAAGCCGGGGGAGCAAACAGG